Hippocampus comes (tiger tail seahorse) is the source of this 252-nucleotide long non-coding RNA. RefSeq lists it as uncharacterized. The transcript is spliced from 2 exons. NCBI's taxonomy places the organism in Eukaryota, Metazoa, Chordata, Actinopteri, Syngnathiformes, Syngnathidae. The record is from RefSeq and is a predicted model, not a curated record.
UUGUGUUAGUGUCACUCGUUUUGUGUUUCACUUGAAUGUUUUCACUGUCUCUGUUGUCACUUUAUUGUUCUUUGAUGUUGUCCGUAAAAACGCUUUGUUACAGCUGCAGCUGUUGAUGGAACGCGCUCUAGAAACUCAAGUCAUUUGGUAUAGUUAAGUGGUACUCCACACCAACAGGGGGCAGCACGUGAUAGAAGGUUCAACCCGUACAGCCAUUCAAAUGCAACAUAGAUUAAAAUGAGAGACAUUGCU